GCCCAGCGCCGGCCGCCGCCGGGGGAACUCUUAUAGCAUAAACCCUUGCGAAACCGGAACGUCUGAGUAUACAAACAAAUAGUUAAAACUUUCAACAACGGAUCUCUUGGUUCUGGCGUCGAUGAAGAACGCAGCGAAAUGCGAUAAGUAAUGUGAAUUGCAGAAUUCAGUGAAUCAUCGAAUCUUUGAACGCACAUUGCGCCCCUUGGUAUUCCGAGGGGCAUGCCUGUUCGAGCGUCAUUGCAACCCUCAAGCUCUGCUUGGUAUUGGGCCCCCGCCCCUCGCGGGGCGGGCCCGGAACCCAUCGGCGGCUGUGCCCAGCUCCGAGCGUAGUCAACAUACCCCGCUCUGGAGUCAUGGGCGCCGCCCGCCGGACGAACACCCCCGAAUCUUUCUCAAGGUUUGACCUCGGAUCAGGUAGGGAUACCCGCUGAACUUAAGCAUAUCAAUAAGCGGAGGAAAAGAAACCAACAGGGAUUGCCUCAGUAACGGCGAGUGAAGCGGCAACAGCUCAAAUUUGAAAUCUGGCCCCCUCGGGGCCCGAGUUGUAAUUUGUAGAGGGUGCUUCGGCUUACGGCGCGGUCUAAGUUCCUUGGAACAGGACGUCACAGAGGGUGAGAAUCCCGUACGUGGCCGCGCCCUCCGCCAUGUGAAGCCCCUUCGACGAGUCGAGUUGUUUGGGAAUGCAGCUCUAAAUGGGAGGUAAAUUUCUUCUAAAGCUAAAUAUCAGCCAGAGACCGAUAGCGCACAAGUAGAGUGAUCGAAAGAUGAAAAGCACUUUGGAAAGAGAGUUAAAAAGUACGUGAAAUUGUUGAAAGGGAAGCGCUUGCGACCAGACUUGACCGCGGAUGCUCAGCCGGCCCUCCGGCCGGUGUACUCUUCCGCGGUCAGGCCAGCAUCGGUUUGGGCGGCCGGAUAAAGGCCCCGGGAAUGUGGCUCCCCUCGGGGAGUGUUAUAGCCCAGGGUG
Molecule: ribosomal RNA, 967 nt
Filed under: Lecanoromycetes sp.
Lineage: Eukaryota; Fungi; Ascomycota; Lecanoromycetes
Description: eukaryotic LSU rRNA
Rfam family: Eukaryotic large subunit ribosomal RNA (bases 404-967)
Source: RNAcentral